GCAGGGGAAUCGCUUCACAAGUGGUAAAGCAGGUCUGCAGGUGUCUUUCUCUCCCCCUCUCUGUCUUCCCCUCCUCUCUCCAUUUCUCUCUGUCCUAUUUAACAGCAAUGACAUCAAUAACAACAAUAAUAACUACAACAACAAUAAAACAAAGUCAACAAAAGGGGAAAUAAAUAAAAUAUAAAAAAAAAGAAAAGAAAAUGCAAAGGCUGUGACAUUCUGUCACUCGCAGACACAGAGCCAGCUGAGUAAAUCCCCAGUGAGCAUUCUUAGAACUGCACCCAAAUUAGGACAAGGCUUUUGGUAGCUAGAGCUUGUGCUUACGUUGUUUUUCAUUGUCAGACUCCUCCAGUGAGAGGUUCAAGGACGGCCUAAGCAGAGCAGCCCAAUCAACUUCGUGGGGUUUAUCUCUGAGAUUAAAGCAAGCACUCACACGCUUAAUACCUUGAAUAAUGUCUGACUUCUGUCUGAGUGCCUUAACAGGAAAGAGAGAAACCGCUCCUGUGUGAUGCGCUGACACCUGUCUGGGGAAAGAUGGAGCUGUGUUCCUGUACAGAGAUCCUGGAGACCAGCGUGCCCUCAGUAAAGACUUUGCUGCAUCUUUGCUGUUCCAGAUGCCUGUUUGCAGGAGGUGAGCUUGCACAGAAUGAAGAUCGUCACUGGGCGCACUCUGUGGAAUCUAGCAGGCCUCGGUAGCAAACCUCGCCAGUGAAGGAAGCCAUGGAGGUCGCGCCUGACAGGCAGUCAGGAGAAAACUGAGGCUUAAACAGACACUCCUUGCUCCAAAGUCUCCCCAGGAGGAAGGGACAGGACAAAGGACAAGCCUCUCCCUGAGAUGGCAGGCUGGCAGGACUUGCUGGGCCCAAUCUAGAGUCUACCAAGAAGCUUCUGCACAGCAAAAGAAACCACUACCCAAACCAAGAGACCCUCACAGAAUGGGAGAAGAUCUUUACAUGCCAUACAUCAGACUAGAGGCUAAUGACCAGAAUAGAUAAAGAGCUUGCCAAACUCAACAACAAGACAACAAAUAACCCCAUCCAAAAAUGGGGGGAGGACAUGGACAGAACAUUCACCACAGAAGAGAUCCAAAAGGCCGAGAAACACAUGAAAAAAUGCUCCAAGUCUCUGACUGUCAGAGAAAUGCAAAUAAAGACAACAAUGAGAUACCACUUCACUCCUGUGAGAAUGUCAUACAUCAGAAAAGGUAACAGUAGCAAAUGCUGGAGAGGGUGUGGGGUCAAAGGAACCCUCCUGCACUGCUGGUGGGAAUGUCAAUUGGUCCAACCUCUGUGGAGAGCAGCCUGGAGAACUCUCAGAAGGCUAGAAACGGACCUCCCCUAUGAUCCUGCAAUUCCUCUCCUGGGGAUAUAUCUUAAGGAACUCAACACACCCAUCCAAAAAGAUCUGUGUACACAUAUGUUCUUAGCAGCACAAUUUGUAAUAGCUAAAACCUGGAAGCAACCCAGGUGUCCAACAACAGAUGAGUGGCUGAGCAAGUUAUGGUAUAUGUACACAGUGGACUACUACUCAGCUAUGAAAAAUGGUGACUUCACCGUUUUCAGCUGACCUUGGAUGGAGCUUGAAAAAUUCAUGUUAAGUGAAAUAAUAAGUCAGAAACAGGGCAGGGGUAGAUAGCAUAAUGAUUAUGCAAAGAGACUCUCAUGCCUGAGGCUCCAAAGUUCCAGGUUCAAUCCCCUACACCACCAUAAGCCAGAGCUGAGCAGUGCUCUGGUAAAAAAAAAAAAAAAAAAAAUUGAAAAAAAAAAAGAAGAAGAAAUAAGUCAGAAACAGAAGGAUGAAUAUGGGAUGGUCUCACUCUCAGGCAGAAGUUGAAAAACAACAUCAGAAGAGAAAACACAAGUAGAACCUGAACUGGA
This is a long non-coding RNA of Erinaceus europaeus (western European hedgehog), 1877 nucleotides long. RefSeq lists it as uncharacterized. The record is from RefSeq and is a predicted model, not a curated record. Lineage: Eukaryota; Metazoa; Chordata; Mammalia; Eulipotyphla; Erinaceidae. The transcript has 5 exons.